This 830-nucleotide ribosomal RNA is filed under the name uncultured archaeon. Its description in RNAcentral is "bacterial SSU rRNA". It matches the Rfam family "Archaeal small subunit ribosomal RNA", at positions 21 to 855 of the family's 1478-position model. The record is from RNAcentral.
GAUCGCUGCUAUUAGGGUUCGACUAAGCCAUGCAAGUCAAGGGGGUCUUCGGACCACCGGCAAACUGCUCAGUAACACGUCGAUAACCUGCCCUUAGGUUCGGAAUAACUUCGGAAAACUGAGGCUAAUACCGAAUAGGAGAAUUGUACUGGAAUGUCUUUUCUUUUAAAACUUCGGUGCCUAAGGAUGGGGCGGCGGCGGAUUAGAUUGUUGGUGUGGUAACGGCUCACCAAGUCUGAGAUCUGUAGGGGCCAUGAGAGUGGUAGCCCCGAGAAGGACACUGAGACACAGGUCCUAGCCCUACGGGGUGCAGCAGGCGCGAAACCUUUACAAUGCACGAAAGUGUGAUAAGGGAACCCUGAGUGCUUUGUUUUCGCAAGGCUUUUGUCAAGAAUAAAAAUCUUGGCGAAUAAGUGGUGGGUAAGACUGGUGCCAGCAGCCGCGGUAACACCAGCGCCACGAGUGGGGAUCAUGUUUAUUGGGCCUAAAGCGUCCGUAGCCGGUUUGAUAAAUCUUUUGUGAAAUUGUCGUGCUUAACAUGACAGCGUGCAAGAGACACUAUUUAACUUGGAACUGGGAGGAGUCAGAGGUAUUCUAGGGGGAGCGGUAAAAUGUUAUAAUCUCUAGAGGACCACCUGUGGCGAAGGCGUCUGACUAGAACAGCUUCGACGGUGAGGGACGAAAGCCAGGGGAGCAAAACGGAUUAGAUACCCGAGUAGUCCUGGCUGUAAACGCUGCGAGCAAGGUGUUGCAUAUCUUUCGUGGAUGUGCAGUAUCGAAAUGAAGAUGUUAAGCUCGCCGCCUGGGAAGUAUAGUCGCAAGACCGAAAC